Molecule: ribosomal RNA, 207 nt
Filed under: uncultured bacterium
Lineage: Bacteria
Description: partial 16S ribosomal RNA
Rfam family: Bacterial small subunit ribosomal RNA
Source: RNAcentral
AGCGCAGACGGUUGAUUAAGUCUGAUGUGAAAGCCCGGAGCUCAACUCCGGAAUGGCAUUGGAAACUGGUUAACUUGAGUGCAGUAGAGGUAAGUGGAACUCCAUGUGUAGCGGUGGAAUGCGUAGAUAUAUGGAAGAACACCAGUGGCGAAGGCGGCUUACUGGACGGUAACUGACGUUGAGGCUCGAAAGUGUGGGUAGCAAACA